CGAUGAAGCCCAGCUUGCUGGGUGGAUUAGUGGCGAACGGGUGAGUAACACGUGAGUAACCUGCCCUUAACUCUGGGAUAAGCCUGGGAAACUGGGUCUAAUACCGGAUAGGAGCGCCCACCGCAUGGUGGGUGUUGGAAAGAUUUAUCGGUUUUGGAUGGACUCGCGGCCUAUCAGCUUGUUGGUGAGGUAAUGGCUCACCAAGGCGACGACGGGUAGCCGGCCUGAGAGGGUGACCGGCCACACUGGGACUGAGACACGGCCCAGACUCCUACGGGAGGCAGCAGUGGGGAAUAUUGCACAAUGGGCGCAAGCCUGAUGCAGCGACGCCGCGUGAGGGAUGACGGCCUUCGGGUUGUAAACCUCUUUCAGUAGGGAAGAAGCGAAAGUGACGGUACCUGCAGAAGAAGCACCGGCUAACUACGUGCCAGCAGCCGCGGUAAUACGUAGGGUGCGAGCGUUAUCCGGAAUUAUUGGGCGUAAAGAGCUCGUAGGCGGUUUGUCGCGUCUGUCGUGAAAGUCCGGGGCUUAACCCCGGAUCUGCGGUGGGUACGGGCAGACUAGAGUGCAGUAGGGGAGACUGGAAUUCCUGGUGUAGCGGUGGAAUGCGCAGAUAUCAGGAGGAACACCGAUGGCGAAGGCAGGUCUCUGGGCUGUAACUGACGCUGAGGAGCGAAAGCAUGGGGAGCGAACAGGAUUAGAUACCCUGGUAGUCCAUGCCGUAAACGUUGGGCACUAGGUGUGGGGACCAUUCCACGGUUUCCGCGCCGCAGCUAACGCAUUAAGUGCCCCGCCUGGGGAGUAC
This 805-nucleotide ribosomal RNA is filed under the name Micrococcus sp. Its description in RNAcentral is "bacterial SSU rRNA". It matches the Rfam family "Bacterial small subunit ribosomal RNA", at positions 67 to 883 of the family's 1533-position model. Lineage: Bacteria; Bacillati; Actinomycetota; Actinomycetes; Micrococcales; Micrococcaceae. The record is from RNAcentral.